This 222-nucleotide long non-coding RNA is filed under the name Vicia faba (fava bean). Lineage: Eukaryota; Viridiplantae; Streptophyta; Magnoliopsida; Fabales; Fabaceae. The record is from RNAcentral.
AUGCUUCCUGAGUUUCCAACAUUAAUGACUCAUCUCAAAAGCCUAUAUAUUGAUCUAUGUCCCAAACUUUUGAGCCUUCCAAGUGACAUGCAUCGUCUCACUGCACUUGAAGAACUUCGCAUUUAUCGUUGUCCUGAGUUGUGCCAAAAAUUACGGCCCCCAUCUGGAGAGUACUGGCCCAUGAUUGGCCGCAUCAAGCGAAUUUCUAUUGGAAAACAUUAA